CACUCCUGCGGGAGGCAGCAGUGGGGAAUUUUGGACAAUGGGCGAAAGCCUGAUCCAGCAAUGCCGCGUGAGUGAAGAAGGCCUUCGGGUUGUAAAGCUCUUUUGUCAGGGAAGAAACGGUGAGAGCUAAUAUCUCUUGCUAAUGUCGGUACCUGAAGAAUAAGCACCGGCUAACUACGUGCCAGCAGCCGCGGUAAUACGUAGGGUGCAAGCGUUAAUCGGAAUUACUGGGCGUAAAGCGUGCGCAGGCGGUUUUGUAAGUCUGAUGUGAAAUCCCCGGGCUCAACCUGGGAAUUGCAUUGGAGACUGCAAGGCUAGAAUCUGGCAGAGGGGGGUAGAAUUCCACGUGUAGCAGUGAAAUGCGUAGAUAUGUGGAGGAACACCGAUGGCGAAGGCAGCCCCCUGGGUCAAGAUUGACGCUCAUGCACGAAAGCGUGGGGAGCAAACAGGAUUAGAUACCCCAGUAGUCCCAUG
RNAcentral lists this ribosomal RNA (474 nucleotides) under uncultured organism. RNAcentral's name for it is "partial 16S ribosomal RNA". It matches the Rfam family "Bacterial small subunit ribosomal RNA", at positions 334 to 799 of the family's 1533-position model. The record is from RNAcentral.